AGGUUGGUGCAAAAGUAAUUGUGGAUUUUGUCGUUAAAAAUAGCAAAACCCGCAAUUACUUUUGCACCAACCUAA
Gorilla gorilla gorilla (western lowland gorilla) is the source of this 75-nucleotide microRNA precursor. NCBI's taxonomy places the organism in Eukaryota, Metazoa, Chordata, Mammalia, Primates, Hominidae. The record is from Ensembl.